GCAUAUCAAUAAGCGGAGGAAAAGAAACCAACAGGGAUUGCCCUAGUAACGGCGAGUGAAGCGGCAACAGCUCAAAUUUGAAAUCUGGCUCUUUUAGGGUCCGAGUUGUAAUUUGCAGAGGGCGCUUUGGCGUUGGCAGCGGUCCAAGUUCCUUGGAACAGGACGUCACAGAGGGUGAGAAUCCCGUACGUGGUCGCUAUCCAUCGCCGUGUAAAGCCCCUUCGACGAGUCGAGUUGUUUGGGAAUGCAGCUCUAAAUGGGAGGUAAAUUUCUUCUAAAGCUAAAUACUGGCCAGAGACCGAUAGCGCACAAGUAGAGUGAUCGAAAGAUGAAAAGCACUUUGGAAAGAGAGUCAAAUAGCACGUGAAAUUGUUGAAAGGGAAGCGCUUGCAGCCAGACUUGCCUGUAGUUGCUCAUCCGGGCUUUUGCCCGGUGCACUCUUCUGCGGGCAGGCCAGCAUCAGUUUGGGCGGUUGGAUAAAGGUCUCUGUCAUGUACCUCUCUUCGGGGAGGCCUUAUAGGGGAGACGACAUGCAACCAGCCUGGACUGAGGUCCGCGCAUUUGCUAGGAUGCUGGCGUAAUGGCUGUAAGCGGCCCGUCUUGAAACACGGACCAAGGAGUCUAACAUCUAUGCGAGUGUUUGGGUGUCAAGCCCGAGCGCGUAAUGAAAGUGAACGGAGGUGGGACCCCAUUAGGGUGCACCAUCGACCGAUCCUGAUGUCUUCGGAUGGAUUUGAGUAAGAGCAUGGCUGUUGGGACCCGAAAGAUGGUGAACUAUGCUUGAAUAGGGUGAAGCCAGAGGAAACUCUGGUGGAGGCUCGCAGCGGUUCUGACGUGCAAAUCGAUCGUCAAAUUUGGGCAUAGGGCGAAAGACUAAUCG
This 880-nucleotide ribosomal RNA is filed under the name Foliophoma fallens. Its description in RNAcentral is "LSU rRNA". It matches the Rfam family "Eukaryotic large subunit ribosomal RNA", at positions 38 to 937 of the family's 3401-position model. Lineage: Eukaryota; Fungi; Ascomycota; Dothideomycetes; Pleosporales. The record is from RNAcentral.